AAGUCGUAACAAGGUUUCCGUAGGUGAACCUGCGGAAGGAUCAUUAAAGAAUUGCCCCAUUUUUUGAAAUGGGUUCUAUUCCCAAACCGUGUAUACAUACCUUUGUUGCUUUGGCAAGCCGUCCUUCGGGCGCAGCUUCGGCUGAGAGCGCUUGCCAGAGGACCCCAACUCUUUUGUUUAGUGAUGUCUGAGUACUAUAUAAUAUUUAAAACUUUCAACAACGGAUCUCUUGGUUCUGGCAUCGAUGAAGAACGCAGCGAAAUGCGAUAAGUAAUGUGAAUUGCAGAAUUCAGUGAAUCAUCGAAUCUUUGAACGCACAUUGCGCCCCUUGGUAUUCCGAGGGGCAUGCCUGUUCGAGCGUCAUUAUAACCACUCAAGCCUGGCUUGGUAUUGGGGUUUUCGCGUGUUCGCGGCCCUUAAAAUCAGUGGCGGUGCCGUCUGGCUCUAAGCGUAGUAAUUUCUCUCGCUAUAGGGUUCCGGUGGUUACUUGCCAAAACCCCCCAUUUUUUCUAGGUUGACCUCGGAUCAGGUAGGGAUACCCGCUGAACUUAA
RNAcentral lists this ribosomal RNA (552 nucleotides) under uncultured Meliniomyces. RNAcentral's name for it is "eukaryotic LSU rRNA". The stretch from base 210 to 363 matches the Rfam family "5.8S ribosomal RNA". The record is from RNAcentral. Lineage: Eukaryota; Fungi; Ascomycota; Leotiomycetes; Helotiales; Helotiaceae.